GGGCCACUAGCUCAAUGGUAGAGCACACGCCUCUUAAGCGUUAGGUUAUGGGUUCGACUCCCUUGUGGCCCA
This 72-nucleotide transfer RNA is filed under the name Candidatus Melainabacteria bacterium. RNAcentral's name for it is "tRNA-Lys". It matches the Rfam family "tRNA". From Rfam's summary of the family: Transfer RNA (tRNA) molecules are approximately 80 nucleotides in length. Their secondary structure includes four short double-helical elements and three loops (D, anti-codon, and T loops). Further hydrogen bonds mediate the characteristic L-shaped molecular structure. tRNAs have two regions of fundamental functional importance: the anti-codon, which is responsible for specific mRNA codon recognition, and the 3' end, to which the tRNAs corresponding amino acid is attached (by aminoacyl-tRNA synthetases). tRNAs cope with the degeneracy of the genetic code in two manners: having more than one tRNA (with a specific anti-codon) for a particular amino acid; and 'wobble' base-pairing, i.e. permitting non-standard base-pairing at the 3rd anti-codon position. Lineage: Bacteria; Bacillati; Candidatus Melainabacteria. The record is from RNAcentral.